This 406-nucleotide ribosomal RNA is filed under the name uncultured bacterium. RNAcentral's name for it is "partial 16S ribosomal RNA". It matches the Rfam family "Bacterial small subunit ribosomal RNA", at positions 30 to 526 of the family's 1533-position model. The record is from RNAcentral.
AUUGAACGCUGGCGGCAGGCCUAACACAUGCAAGUCGAACGAGUGGCGCACGUGUGAGUAAUGUCUGUGAAACUGCCUGAUGGCGGGGGAUAACUCCUGGAAACGGUAGCUAAUACCGCAUACCAUCAGAUGUGCCCAGCGGGGAUUAGCUUUUUGGUGGGGUAACGGCUCACCAAGGCGACGAUCCCUAGCUGGUCUGAGAGGAUGACCGGCCACACUGGAACUGAGACACGGUCCAGACUCCUACGGGAGGCAGCAGUGGGGAAUAGUGCACAAUGGGCGCAAGCCUGAUGCAGCCAUGCCGCGUGUAUGAAGAAGGCCUUCGGGUUGUAAAGUACUGUCAGCGGGGAGGCGUUACCCGCAGAAGAAGCACCGGCUAACUCCGUGCCAGCAGCCGCGGUAAUAC